This 465-nucleotide ribosomal RNA is filed under the name Vreelandella stevensii. RNAcentral's name for it is "partial 16S ribosomal RNA". It matches the Rfam family "Bacterial small subunit ribosomal RNA", at positions 338 to 795 of the family's 1533-position model. Lineage: Bacteria; Pseudomonadati; Pseudomonadota; Gammaproteobacteria; Oceanospirillales; Halomonadaceae. The record is from RNAcentral.
CCUACGGGCGGCAGCAGUGGGGAAUAUUGGACAAUGGGGGCAACCCUGAUCCAGCCAUGCCGCGUGUGUGAAGAAGGCCCUCGGGUUGUAAAGCACUUUCAGUGAGGAAGAACGCCUGGUGGUUAAUACCCAUCAGGAAAGACAUCACUCACAGAAGAAGCACCGGCUAACUCCGUGCCAGCAGCCGCGGUAAUACGGAGGGUGCGAGCGUUAAUCGGAAUUACUGGGCGUAAAGCGCGCGUAGGUGGCUUGAUAAGCCGGUUGUGAAAGCCCCGGGCUCAACCUGGGAACGGCAUCCGGAACUGUUAAGCUAGAGUGCAGGAGAGGAAGGUAGAAUUCCCGGUGUAGCGGUGAAAUGCGUAGAGAUCGGGAGGAAUACCAGUGGCGAAGGCGGCCUUCUGGACUGACACUGACACUGAGGUGCGAAAGCGUGGGUAGCAAACAGGAUUAGAUACCCCGGUAGUC